Molecule: long non-coding RNA, 764 nt
Filed under: Homo sapiens (human)
Lineage: Eukaryota; Metazoa; Chordata; Mammalia; Primates; Hominidae
Description: HSALNT0400407
Source: RNAcentral
GGCAAAGCGGGAGCCUUCCGCGGCAGAGCUUGGGUGUCCGGGCUCUGAGGCUCCGGUCUGACCUCUCCACGGGGUCGACGGGAAUGUCUCCGGAUGCCAGGAGUUGCAAAGGGCAGACCUAGAUGAGGAAACCCCAGGCAGAGUCCUGGGGAAGCAGCACGGCAUCCGAGCCUCAGGCUUGCCUGGACGGUGUUGGUUGGGGUAAGAUUGGGGAAGAUGCCAGGUGAUAGAAUCCACCCUGCCUCUGACAGCAUCCAAUCUGGAGCAAAGGCUUAUUUCAACCCUCCCCCAAGCUCCCAAUACAAGCCCAAAUUCUGGAACAGGUCCUUUCCAACACCUCCUUCAGAGAAGCUCCCUGGCUCCAGGCAGUGCUUGCUCCCCUCACUGCAGCAGGAAGCCUAACUUGCGAACUGCAGGUGUGCUCCAGGUGGUCACUGGAUGCAAGGCAUUGACAGAUGGAUCCCAUCGAUACCCCCACUGCAAAACCAUAAAUGGUGAGAGAACUUUGGAUGUGGAACGUGGAGGAGGAGGAACACGAAGUGGGGAUCUCCACUUGGGGUGGUCAGCACUGCGGGUGCCCAGCAAAGUCACUGCCUGGUCCACAUCCCGGAGGGGUCUCUGCGCCUCAGUCGGCAUCGCAGCUGAUGGUGAAACUUUUGGUGUGGCAGAAGAGUGUCCACAAACUUCGGAAGAUCGCUGCUCAGAGUGAGGAAUGGAGUUGUGUUUUGAAUAAAAUAUCCACGCAUCCUUUUGUGAGCAAGGAG